UUCUAACGCUAAACUAUUUUC
RNAcentral lists this transfer RNA (21 nucleotides) under Cyprinella spiloptera (spotfin shiner). Its description in RNAcentral is "partial tRNA-Pro". Lineage: Eukaryota; Metazoa; Chordata; Actinopteri; Cypriniformes; Leuciscidae. The record is from RNAcentral.